Ictalurus punctatus (channel catfish) is the source of this 659-nucleotide long non-coding RNA. NCBI's taxonomy places the organism in Eukaryota, Metazoa, Chordata, Actinopteri, Siluriformes, Ictaluridae. The record is from Ensembl.
GUAAGUGUAAGUGUAGGUGUGAGUGUAAGUAUAAGUGUAGGUGUAGGAGUAGGUGUAGGUGUAGGUGUAAGUAUAAGUGUAGGUGUAGGAGUAGGUGUAGGUGUAAGUAUAAGUGUAGGUGUAGGAGUAGGUGUAGGUGUAAGUAUAAGUGUAGGAGUAGGUGUAGGUGUAAGUGUAGGUGUAGGUGUAAGUGUAGGUGUAAGUGUAGGUGUAAGUAUAAGUGUAGGUGUAGGAGUAGGUGUAGGUGUAAGUGUAGGUGUAGGUGUAGGUGUAAGUGUAGGUGUAGGUGUGAGUGUAGGUGUAAUUGUAAGUGUAGCUGUAGGUGUGAGUGUAGGUGUAAGUAUAAGUGUGGGUGUAGGAGUAGGUGUAGGUGUAGGUGUAAGUGUAGGUGUAGGUGUAGGUGUAGGUGUAAGUGUAGGUGUAAGUGUAGGUGUAAGUAUAAGUGUAGGUGUAGGAGUAGGUGUAGGUGUAAGUGUAGGUGUGAGUGUAGGUGUAAUUGUAAGUGUAGCUGUAGGUGUGAGUGUAGGUGUAAGUAUAAGUGUAGGCGUAGGAGUAGGUGUAGGUGUAAGUGUAAGUGUAGGUGUAGGUGUGAGUGUAGGUGUAAUUGUAAGUGUAGCUGUAGGUGUGAGUGUAGGUGUAAGUAUAAGUGUAGGUGUAGG